CGGGCCGAGAGCCCAGCCCGCCGGGAGCCGCCAGCCCCGGCGGCUUGGGCCCUGAGCGCCCUUGGGGGAGGGCAGCCAUCGAAGCACUGACCGUGAAGGAGGAGGAAAAAAGCUUAAAAUACAGGAAAGAAGAAUGGAGGACAUAGCAGGUAAUAUCUGCUCUUGAAAUCAAAACUUUUAAAAGCAAGAUAUGAUUAUACUUAAUAUUCAUUCCUUGUUACUAAGAUUUGGAAAAC
This 236-nucleotide long non-coding RNA is filed under the name Struthio camelus australis. RNAcentral's name for it is "lncRNA (ENSSCUG00000003114.1)". The record is from RNAcentral. Lineage: Eukaryota; Metazoa; Chordata; Aves; Struthioniformes; Struthionidae.